GUGGGGAAUAUUGGACAAUGGGCGCAAGCCUGAUCCAGCCAUGCCGCGUGAGUGACGAAGGUCUUCGGAUUGUAAAGCUCUUUUGCCAGGGACGAUAAUGACGGUACCUGGAGAAUAAGCCCCGGCUAACUUCGUGCCAGCAGCCGCGGUAAUACGAAGGGGGCUAGCGUUGUUCGGAAUUACUGGGCGUAAAGCGCACGUAGGCGGAUUUGUUAGUCAGGGGUGAAAUCCCGGGGCUCAACCUCGGAACUGCCUUUGAUACUGCAAGUCUAGAGUCCGGAAGAGGUGAGUGGAAUUCCUAGUGUAGAGGUGAAAUUCGUAGAUAUUAGGAAGAACACCAGUGGCGAAGGCGGCUCACUGGUCCGGUACUGACGCUGAGGUGCGAAAGCGUGGGGAGCAAACAGGAUUAGAUACCCCAGUAGUCC
RNAcentral lists this ribosomal RNA (425 nucleotides) under uncultured bacterium. RNAcentral describes it as "bacterial SSU rRNA". It matches the Rfam family "Bacterial small subunit ribosomal RNA", at positions 354 to 796 of the family's 1533-position model. The record is from RNAcentral.